Arachis ipaensis is the source of this 2848-nucleotide non-coding RNA. The record is from RefSeq and is a predicted model, not a curated record. NCBI's taxonomy places the organism in Eukaryota, Viridiplantae, Streptophyta, Magnoliopsida, Fabales, Fabaceae.
CAAACACAAACUAAAAUACAAAAGGAAACAUCACCGACGUGAAAUUUCUUGGGAUUCUUGAGUUUUCUCUAAGAUAAAAAAUAGAAAGCACGUGAUUUGAGUCAAAGAGAGUGGUUUGCUUUCACAUCACUCUCAGUCACUCUUUCUAUUUUUCAUCUUCCUUGGUGAACUCUCCAAGACGCCAUCUUCUUCCUCUUUCUCCCCAUUUGGAAAGCAAUGUCUCGACCGGAGGAGGGUGUUCGACCAAGAGGCGCAAGAUGAACGACGAUAGACAGGUUCUUCCGAUUCUUGAGCACUCACCUUCUGUCAUCAUCACCAACCCCUACGGUGCUGCCGUUACCGACUUACCAGCGCCGCAUUGGGCUUCUUCUUCGGCGUGUCUGAACGAGAUUAUGAGCACCAGCGUGGCGAAGUAGUUUGGAAGUCCUAACCGUAGCUACUCGAAUGCGUCGUCUGAGAGCACAAUGAUGGGGACGACGCCGGUGGGAUUCUGGGGACUCUGAACGAGUGACGCUCUUUGGAACCUCAAGAACCUGGUUGUUACAUUCUCCUCCUCCUCUGAGAUCUCAACUGGCGCCACCUCAUUGAUUCCGCACAGAAGAAGAAUGGGUGGAAUAAGUUUUCUUUUGUCUUUAUAAUUGUUUCUCAGUCAGUUCUAGGGAGGUGAGGUUGUAUUUUUAUUAUUAUAUGCUUCAAAUUGUUGAAAAUAUAAUGUGAAUUCUAUUCUUCUGAAGCUAUGAUGGGAUGUUAGUUUGAAUGAUGUUAUUUGUGAUCUCAUCUCAUUCUUUUAUACAUGAUUCUGAUGUCAGUCAAUGUUGUUGCUUCCUCAUUUUAUUUUAUCAUUUUCAAAGUUAUGAUGGGAUGUUAGUUUUUGAAUUUUUCUUCAAAAACAAAAAAUGGAUUGGAUGCGAUUAGGUGGGGAAAGUGAUUCUCUUCCCUGUUUUUCAGUGUACUCUCACACGAAAAAUCAGAUUUUGGUGGUUUGGUGGGAGAAAUGACAUCAUCUUCUCUAACAAAUAAAUGUGAGAAGAAGAGGAAUAUGAAGAUUUGUGUGAUUGGCAAGUAAAGGAAAGAUGAACGGAAGAGGCAGACAGAGAUCUGGUGUGCCCAGGAGCAACACCAUCAGAGCACUUCUAAUAGAAUGAGUUUUUCUAACUUCUUGCUGCUCCCAUUCAGUGGUUCCGAUAAAAUGUCCGGAUCAGGACUCUACUAUUUAUCAGCUCGCUUUUCAUGUUGGACUCAAAGGGCAUUAUAGUGGGGUAUGCUCAUUAUUUGGUAGAACAAUAUUUAUUGUUUUGAAAGCCAAAUAUUUUCUUGUGUUUACUUUGUUAAAAAUGCACAGAGCAAUGAAGAGAAGUAUUUUAUUCACAAUCAUUUGGCAUUUACUGUCAAGUAUCAUAGAGAUUUGCUAAUUGAAUCUGCUAGAAUUGUGAGCUUUCAGGUGAAGCCAUUCAGGUUAGUAUUUUUGUGAUUUCUCUGCAUUAUAGAUGUAUUUCAUUUAUUUUGUUGUGAUAUGUAUAUAAUACUCAUACUGAGUUUCUGAAUAUGAAUGUUGAAAUGUAGUAUAUGGAGAUGAAUCAUCAUGUUUUCUAGGUUUUUUUUUAUUUUGUUUCAAAUAAAUAUAAAUUUACUAUAUUUUUAAUUGUGAUAUGUAAGUAUAUAAAGAUGAUGAAUCAUCAUCAUGAUUUUUAGGGAUUCUUUGAUUUUGUUUCAAAAAAUAUAAAUUUAUUAUUUUUUUAAUUGUGAUCUAUUAGUAUAUGAAGAUGAUGAAUCAUUAUCGUGUUUUGUAGAAUUUCUUUGAUUUUGUUUUCUUUUGCUUCUUAUGUUGAACUAUAAGUUUCGUGUUGAUUUCGAGACCAUUUGCAUUGAUUUGUGUUAGCUUAGAUAUUUUUUUCGGUUUGCUACAGAUUUUGAGAUUUCUACCGUUGUAACAAUUUUCUCUUCUGUCUCCUUUUGUAAUUUUUGGUGCAGUAUACACUAGCAAUUGAUAUAUGGAGUAUCGAUUGCAUGUUUAUCGAAGUGCUCUUAGGAAAGCCAUUUUUUCUGGAAAGAAUGUUGUUCACCAGUUGGAUCUGAUGACAAAACCAUCUGUAUGACUAUAUUGCACUAUAUCUUAGUACAAUUCUAAACCAAAGCUUACUGGCUUGCAUCAAAAUUUGAGUUGGAUGCAGGUACGCAAUGAGAAAACACAAAGAUACCUUAUUAGCAUGAGGAAAAAGUAGCCUGUGUCAUUUGCACGUAAGUUUACUAAUGCAGACUCUUUAGCACUAUGAUUACUAGAGAUUGCUAGCUUUUGAUCCGAAAGACUGACCUAUUGUUGCAAAGGCAUUGGCUGAUCUUUACGUCAAGGGACUGGCUAAAGUUGAGAGAGAACCGUCUUAGCUAUUGCGAGUUCCCUUUUAUCCACCGGAAUCAAGGCAUGGUUGGCUUCAACAAUCCCCAAAUCACUCUCUCGAGCUCACAUCCUUCUUUUACUCAAUGGGUUGAAGGAGAAUGAAGCUGCAACAAUCCCAAAAUGGAGGAUUGAGCAUUUGAGCGGCAACUUGCAGAAUUUUGUGGAACUAUGUGACUGGGUUGGAUUUCAUAAGCGCAAUAAAAAAAGGAGAAAGAAAGCACAUAAAUAGCAAGAUUAUGAGAGAAUGUUCUAUUUGCAUCCCAACGAAAAAGAAAAUGAAGAUUCUAUGAACAAGGUAUUGAGUGCUUGGGUAUUAUGUCUGAAUUAUUUAUUUAUUUAUUUUUAAACGAACUGUAUGUUAAUUUGUUAACUGAAAGUAUAUAAUAAGAAAUUCCAUAACUCAUCAAUAGUAAUCAUUAUUCUAUAACUCAUAGUAAUAGCAAGUAUUAUUUA